CCCCCUAAUCUACCCAUUUCUAUUAGUGACUUUUAAGACACUAGUUCUAUUUUUGAUGUUAAAAAAAUAGUUUUUAGGCUCUUUGUUUGUUAUUCUUUUAUUUUCUUUUGUUUUUUUUUCCUGUUUCUGACAGGGGAUGUUCCCUCGUCAAGGGCUUGAUCCAAAGAUGAUUGUAGUCAAUAGGUGCCUCCCCACUGACUUGAAUGGACUUUGACUAAGACUGCCCUCAAGCCAGGGCCUGUUGAGACUCCCUUUAAAACAUCUCACUGUCCAUUUUUCAUUUACAUUAUUUCAAUUGGGAGGAUAGAAACCGGGCUUACUUCAGGAAUCAGUCUCUAGUUCUUUCAGCUGUUUUAGGGCGUUAUUUGAAGCUGAUUGUUUUUAAUAAGAAUGGGUGAUUUGGAGAAAUAAGCAGCACCCUGUUGAAAAUGCUGGUUUUGCAACAUGGUCCCCUUUUGUUCAGCUGAGGUGCUUUGUCACUGCAGUCUGCCACGAGUGAUAUUCUUUAGGGAUUGGUGAGAUUCUUGAAGAGAAUCUGUGUAUGUGAGAAUCUGUGGUUCUCCUUGUAGCUGUCUAGCCUCCCUUUGUCUGGUGAUGCUGACCUGUUUUUGAGAGAGAAAUGCUCAGCCCUGGCCUGUGGUUGGGGACUGGCCCUGGACUUGGGAGACCAGCAUGCAAUUCCUUUCUAUGUCAAAGAUUUGAUUGUGUGUGGCAUUGGGUGAGUCACUUCUGGUAUGUCCAUAUUGUAUUGUAAAUCUGGAUCUGUGGGACUUAAUGUUUGCAAGCCCAUGCUUGAGCAUUCACACUGCAUUGUAAAACUCGGUUAACAAUUGCUUGACUUGGGUCUUACAGCCAGGCUAAUGUAUCCACAUUGUAGUAUACAAGCCUUCUGACCUGAACGGUGUCCAUGUUGCAAAAUGACAGAACUUAGACCCAAGUUACAGUGGGACUUGGACUGUGACUCACCCACCCCCAGUAGGGUGCUAGGAUCUGGAUCCUAAGUGUUUGCUGACCUGAGUCAGACUGAUUUGUGUGUGACUAGCAGGGGGCUUAGGCUCAAACCUGAGUCAGAGUCCAGCCUUAGUGUGCAAUGUAGACAUACCCUUAAAAUACAUCAACUCUGCAAAGAAAAAAACCCAUGGUAGUUAGUCUCAGAACCCGGGUCAACAGACCAAGGCUAAAAAUAGCAGUGUAGACAUUUCCACUUGGGUUGGAGCUCAGGGUCUGAAGCCCAGUGAGGGAUGGGGCUCAGAGCCCAACUGCCAGCCCAAGCAGGAACAUCUACAAUGCUAUUUUUAGCCCUGUAACUUGAGCCCCAUGAGCCCAGGUCAGCUGACCCAGGCCCUGAGACUCAAUGCCAUGGUGGGGUUGUAGUUUAGGCAUACCCUUAGUCUCUCUGGCUCCACUCCUCAAAGGUACUCAAGCAUUGCUCACCACUGCAACUCCUAACCACUAGGCCAGUGGCCACCCAAUGGAAUUCUCAGCCCUGAGUGAGGCUCCCAAUGUCCCUGUGAAAGGUCUGAGGACAGUUAAAUGCCUAACAGUGGGAUCUUCAGAAGCCAAGGAGCUGCCUCUCCAGGAGUGAAAUGCCAAGGAGAGGUGGUGAGAAAAGAGGGGCUUAGGCACCUAAGCAGCUGACCUAGUGUGCCUAGCUGAUGAGACAGAGAGGUACUUCCCUCUGCUUGUGAUCCUCAGCCACAAACCCUCUCAUGGAGUUAAGUAUCUAGGGCCAAGGCUACACUGGCGCUUUAUAGCGCUGCAACUUUCGCACUCAAGGGUGUGAAAAAAACACCCCCCUGAGCACUGUAAGGUACAGCGCUGUAAAGCCUUAGUGUAAACAGUGCCACAGCACUGGGAGCGCGGAUCCCAGAGCUGCAAGCUACACCCGUAGAGGAUGUGGAGUACGUGCAGCACUGGGAGAGCUUUCUCCCAGUGCUGGCGCUGCGACCACACUCGCACUUCAAAGCGCUGCCGCGGCAGCACUCCCACGGCAGCGCUUUGAAGUUUCAAGUGUAGCCAUACCCUAAGCCAGGUUAGGUAAAUUAGCACAUGUACUAGGAGCCAGAACUGUGUCUGUCUGUCUCUCUCUCUCCAGCUCAUGCUUCAUAUCUCUCAUACUCCUCCUACAUUUCCCUGUGCCACUGGCAGUCUUUUGUGGGGCUGCGUUGCAGCACUUCUGCUUAUCAAUGUCCUGCAUCUGGCCCUGCAGCUGUAGGGUCUGAUUGGUAUCAGGCAUGCCCAGAGCACAGCUAGAGGAUUGGGCCCUGCUGGUGAGAAAGGCAUUCGCCCCCAUUUAGUUUGAGAGCUUCCUCUUGAUCUAGGGCUCCAAGCUGCUCAGUAGUGGGGGCAAGCAUUAGGGCUUAGGCAGCUAUGCAAAGGCUGACUGGUGGAAAUGUAGGCACUAGGGAGCUAGAUGACAGCUGAGAUGUGGUUUGGAAAAAAAUCAAUGGCACCAAAAUGGUGGAAUUGGGUGCCUGAAGAGAGUUGCCUAAAAACCUUUGUGGAUCUGUUCCUCUAAGCAAUUCUGAUCCCUGUCUGUAAAACAGGGACAAUUCUCCCGUCUCACAGGAGUGCUGUGAGGACAGCGAUGGGAGCCCUACAAACAUCUACUCAGAUUAAGUAUAGCAGCUACAUUUACGAGUUAUGUUUCUAUGCUUGUUCAGUCAAUUAGAAAUAUUCAGAACACGUUUCAACAAUUUGCAGCAAGUGAGUAAACUUGAUAUGUUCUGGUGAGUGUUGUGUGAAUCUCUGUUGGUUUAGCCUUUGCCUCUUUAACUAUAGGGUUUCUAUUUCUGAGAAGACAGUUUGACAGAAUUGUUCCAAACUAGAAACAAAUACCAUGAGGCCUUCAUCCUGUAUCGGAGUCUGAGUGUCACUGUCCCUAUAAAGAUCUUGGGGUCCAAGCUAAAAGAUCUGGGGCUAAAGCAUUGGAAUUCUUUUUAAAGCCAAGUUUGGUUGUAAUUCUGGGAGCAUCUCAUAAGAAAAGAGCCUUCCCUUAUCUUCAGGAAUUUCUAGUCCUCUCUUUCACCUUUCUACAUUAUCUCUGAGUUUGGUUUAAGGAGUGAGACCUUGAAUAUAUUCCAAGGACCAUUAAAGUAAGGCCAGAGCUGCACAAAGGGGAUUUAACAGGGCUGAGGAUGUGACCCUAAAAUGUAUCAUUACACAGCCAAGAUUUCUGGUUCUAGAAGAGUUUCUGGGAGAGAAGGUGAUUCUCCACAUACAGGUCAGUAUACAAUUAUUGUAUCUUCCUAGGGGACAGGACUGGUCUAUGGCAUAAAGGCUUUGUCUACACUAUGCUGCUUUUAGGGACACAGCUGUACUCUUGCUGAUAAAGCACUGUUUACACCGGCGCUUUUCCUCCACAAAACUAUAGUCUUUUGGGGAGGGGGUUGUUUUUUUAACACCUCUGAAUGACAAAAGUUUUGUCGUUCACUUGCCAGUGUAGACAAAGCCAGAGAGAGAGAGAGAAAUAAACAAGUUGUUUGGGGUUUUUUUAAGGAAUAACAAAGAUCUGUUAAAUACCAGAGUAGGAAAUGAGAUUGAUUAAAAUCAGAAUGUAUUCACAUUCAAUUGCAAGUUAUUCUAGGAAAUGUAAAAUACAGAUCUCUUAAUUAGAGUGAUGCAAAAGACUUCUUAAAAUCAAAGGUUCCAAACUUGCAAAUAUUUCCACACUUCAUGAGCUAAGCUCUGUUCCUGCACUGAGCUCCGUGCAUAGCAAAUGGGGCUCCAUUCUAGUGCAGCCUUAUGCCCAUGGACAGCUCAGAACAGGGUCUGGCCCUAAAACUGAUUUUCUCCUAAAGGUACCAACAGGAAAUUUGAACAUCGGCUGUCAACUCCUACUUAUCUGGCAUUUUGAGCUUAAAACAAUGGUUUAAUUAAUCUCUUGUUUGGGAUUUUGUCCUUGAGGUUUCCAAAAGACUCUUUAUAAAAGAUUUUUUAUGGCAGUGAUUAUAUUCUUGUGGUAACAUCUGAACUAAAUAUUAAUACGCUGUAUCCUGGAAUACGUCUUGAAAUUAAAAAUUAAACGAUGGGCCAAACUUCCUGCUGGCAUAAUGCCACUUAAGUUAAUGGAGUUAUAUCAUAGGGAGUUUGACUAUACAUAUGUAGGUGAGUUAAUGUAAAAUUUUCUCCUGCUCUUGUUUUUGACUGAGAACAUAUGCCCAGAAUCCCAAAUAUGUUCAUGAUUUUUUCAUAUUAUGCUUCUCAUUUUUGAUCCUAUAUUUCAUUUUCUCAAUUUGUGUUUAGAGAGAUUUUUAAAAUGUAUAAAGAAUAUUAAAGAGUAAAUAAUAUGUAGGGUCAAAUCUCUGGUCUCACAGAAGUCAAUAGCAAAACUCUUUUUGGCUUUAAUGAGUUCAGGUUUGGCUGGUGUGUGGUAUUGAUCUUCCCUCUUCAUCACACAGCUAGUAGUAGAUAGCAGUGACAUCAUAUCUUAGGUGUGCCCAUGCAACUAUCAAUAAAGCCUUUAUAUUCUUCUAAUCUCCUAACCCACCAGACUGCUAGGUAAGUAGAUUUAAAUGUUAAGAAACAGUCUGUGAUUUCACAGACCAAGAGCGGAGAUGAUUCAGUAGGAUACAAAUUCUUACACACUAAACAACCUGUAACCAAGCAAUAGUGUCACUCCUUCUCCAGUAUAACAAUUCCAAACCUCAAUUCCUGGAUUGAGAUUCCAUAACUCCUGAAUCAACGUGCCUAGCACAGAGCCUGAUCCCACCCCUGUUAAUCAUGUAAGUACCCCGUUGAGCACUGCUGACACCACAUGCAGUCUGUGUCCCCAUACAGCCUCGUUACUGUCUAGUAAAGUUCCUAGCCGUGAGAACAGUGAGGAAUUAAUUGACUAGCUUUUGGAACAGAUGACCAAGGGAUGUGGUAAAAUUCUCCCAUCAAUUUCAAUUUAGGUUUGGAUGUCUUCCUGAAAAAAAGAUGCUGAGUCCAGUUCAACCAGAAGAGGCUGGACUUAAUUCAGGAAUCACUGGGUGAAAUCCAGUGGCCUGUGUUAUGUAGCUGGUCAGAUUAGAAGAUCAUGAUAGUCCCAUCUGGCCUUAUAUUCCAUAAGUAGGUAGGGUGUUUUGUCCCUGAUCUCACACAAGUGUGUCAAAUGGGUUUUUUUGUUCUUUUGUGCAGAAAGGGCAUCCAACUAUGUCUGUUUCACUGAGGCUAUGUCUAUGCUGCGAGCUAGGAUGUGAUUCCCCUGCUCCCAUCAAGCUGCCGUGAGUAUAAAUAGUGAUCUAGCCAGAGUGACACCAGAAGUAUGACUGAGCUAUGUCAAGUAUGUACCCACCAGGUUCAGGCGGGUUUCAGAGCCAUGCCUCUGCUGCUGCUACCCAUGCUGCCACAGAUAAACUGCUAUUUACACUAAUGCUAGCUCAAUAGGAGCUCAAAAUGUAAUCAUAGCCUGAGUUCACCUGCCACUCUGCCUCCUAGGAAGCUGUCCAGGAGGAAAUCGCAAAGCACACUGCACCCUAUGAAAAGCACCCACAGAAUUCUGCCUCCAACUCCAGCAGCUGAAGCAGUAUGGGAUAGCUGCCCACAUUUUCGCAGAACUUCCCAUAACUGGCUGUACAGCUUAGUAGGUGUGGACAGGGCAACACAAUUGACCUAUAGUUGUGCCAGGAAUAUUGCUGCCAAUCAGGUGCAUGGAAACAUGUUAUCUCAGCUGUAUCCUUGUUCAUGAGCAUGUUCAAGGCUGGUUACAGUUAACAUAGUUUUAUUUGUAGAAUGGAUAGGGCUAGAGAGAGUAUUAUGGUAAUUUCAAGUGUGGAAACGCAGCAUGAGCAGACAAGCCCAUAAACCACAAAGAUCCUCUUUCAUACAAAUGUCCUUAGUGUACAGAAAGAAAAGGAGAAGAGAAGUACAAAAAAAUAAUAGCACGAAAUAUGAUCAAAACAUUAUCGAGGUAGAAUGUUUUUCAACAUUUUCCAUGAGGGGGGACAGAUCGGGGGGCCAAACAGUGAAGGGAUAGCAGAAGCUUCUUGCACUGCAGUGCAAAACCUUAAGUGCCAAAAUAGUGUUCCAGAUUUUCUUUAAAGGGGCUGGCCCGUAACUCAGUCCUGGUGCAGGGCAGUUCAUUCUCAGCACUGUUUGAAAUUCAAGGUCCUUGCAUCUAUUAGCAGAAGGCCCCACUAUUGAGUUAAUGGGUUUUAAUCAGCAUUGAAAUGCCAACACAGAAUACCAGUUUGAUUAUUCAGUUCUGGGCCAUAUGUUUGAUAGUAAAUAGAGGCAACAAUAGCAGCAACAUCAAUUAUUAGGGGUUUUUUUAUUAGUGAUAAAGAAUUUUUUUAACUGCAUAAUCCAGGCCAGCAUAUCUAGGGAAUGGGGGAGGGAAGCAUGGGAGGGGGAGUUUAUGUAGCUUGUAUUAAAAAAAAAUUAAUGCACAUGUGAUAUAAAGGGUGGAGAAGGGGGACAAAACUGCCAUGCAAGGGACAACAGAGAUAAAGAAUUAUGGUCCGUGUGUAGUGCAGGGUUGCAGACAUACUAGAGAAAAUAUAUUUACCCGCCAGCUCACAAGCUUGACCUUUCCUUGCACUUACACCUCCGUUAUCCCAGGCCAGGAAUUAAUUCAUACAGAGUCAUGUGAUGUUUUUGUAAUCCAGGGAAGAAUAGUACUGAGGUGAGGUGAUCACCAUAAUUAUACUGUAAGCUUCUAAUGCAUCUUUCAUCCAGGAAUCUUAAUGCAUUUGAUGAACACAGGUUCCCAUAGGAUCCAGAGAGGUAUUAUUUGCAUUUUAGAGAUGAACAGAGUAAGUCUAUAUUUACACUGCAAUAACAGGGUCUGAUAGCAGCUCAUGUAGACAUACCCAAGUUAGCUUUAAUCUAGCUGACUUGGAUACUGAAGCAGUGAUGCUGCAAUAGGACACGCAUCAGUGCAGGCUGGCUACCCAAGUAAUUACCCAAAGUCCCAGGAUGGCUUGUACAGCCUGCAGUAAAGUCCAUGCUGCUCCUCUUCUUUGCUCUAGUGUUUCAGCUAGUUAAAUUACAGCUACCUUGGGUAUUUCUACACCCACAAACUGCAACCGUGAGCCAUGAUUGCAAUGCAGACAUAGCUGGGACUUGUCUACCCAAGAAAGUUGCAUUGGUUUAACUGAAGUUGCAAUGUUAAAUCAGUUUAAUUAAACUGGUGCCACUGUGUGUGCUGACACAUGUAAACUUAUUGAAACCUGCCUUAUGUUGGUUUAACUUGCCUCUGUACAUUUGUAAAGGUGGUUCUACAUCAGUACAAGUAUAUCCACACAAAGAUUAAAAGGAGGCAAGCUUCAGGAGGGAAAAGGAAGAGAAAUGGGGAAAACACAAACAUGUUCAAAUUUUCAGUUAUUUUUCUGUCCAAAAAUCUGAAAACUUUCAAUUUUUUUCUUGAAAAUUUUCAAAAUAAUGAAAAUAUGUUACUGAUCUACUUCACAUUUUCCAAAGAGUUGUCUUGCCCACACCUUCUGAUACUAGCUUAUGGAAUGAGGGCUAAUAUGUGAGUGACCGAGGAAAAGGACUGUAGUGUGGGUUCGCUGAAGCAAACAGAAUUAGCAUAAAGGACAGGUUUCUGGGCACAUGCCAUAGGGAAAGACAGAUUAUUGUGCAAGAGGAAGAUUGUUUUGUAGGCAACAUAGAACACAAAGGGUUACUCUCUGUGUGACACUAGCAGUAAUGGAUUACUCUGCAAGUGACAGUGGCAGAAAGGAAGUUUUGUGCUUGUGUCACAGAAGGAAAAGGAUUACUGUGUAAAUGAUACUGGAGGGAAAGGAUUAGGCUGCAUGGGAUCCAGGAGAAGAGAGGUCAUUGUACAUACGUCACAGGAAGAGCAGGGUCAUGUGACAUGGGGCGGAAAGGAUUCUUUGAAAGUCAAAAAGAAAAUGAAAAAGAGAAGAAGGAUUAUUGUGCUAGUGUCAGUGGAAGACGAGGUUCCUUGUGUGCAAAAAUAAAUUGCUGUGUUACCAUGGGAAAGAGAACACAUUAGUUCAAAAAGAAGUGCCUGGAUUUUCCUUUGAUGAAGGCCUGUCUACACUGAAUCUGGCACCACUUAUUAGUUUAAAGGAAUACACUGUUCCCACAGAUAGAUAGAGCAGUGACUGAAUAAUGGUGGACACUUGUCCACCUUGAUCUCAACUUCUCUACAGUUAAAGAGUUGGCUUCUGUGGUGAUUUCCCCCGCCCUACCCCCUCAUAACAAAAAAAAGGAACUGCCCUGUUGCCACAGACAAGGCAGAGUGUAAUGUGCAAGUACCGUAGCUCUGAUGAGCUUCCAGGGCUUUACUUCUCAAUUAGCUUUCCAAACUCUAAGAAGGAUGGUUCAUCUCUCCAUAUGACCAGGUUUUGCUGAGAGGCAAUGUAAGUCCAGGCAGCUUAGGUUUUUCUUUCCUCUAGAAAUCACUUCCUUCUUUAAAAAAAUAACAAACUAACCAAGGAAUCAAUAGUUCACACUCUUCCUACACGUGGAGAUGAGUUUAGAAUUCUCAGUAGCCCUGCCAAUGGACAUUUAUAUUUCCACAUCACCAAAAUCACCCCCCCACACACUUUGGCAAUGUUAUCAGGAGUUGCAAGGAAUGGAUAAUGUUAUUGGUCAAGCCUAUGAUGCAGUGUGUUGUAUUUGUGUGGAGUAAGGAGGGGGAAGGAAAAUGGGGAAACUUCUACUCCUAUUUUGCCUGGUUCUAGGUCAGGGCUUCUCAAACUUUUUCACACCUGGAUCUUUCACACAGGGGCGGCUCCAGGCCCCAGCACACCAAGCAUGUGCUUGGGGCGGCAAGCUGCAGAGGGCGCUCUGCCGGCGCCACGAAGGCGGCAGGCAGGCUGCCCUCGGCGGCUUGCCUGUGGAGGGUCCACUGGUCCCUGCGGGAGGUCCGCCGAAGCCACGGGACCAGCGGACCGUCCGCAGGCAAGCCGCAGAAGGCAGCCUGCCUGCCAUGUUUGGGGCAGCAGAAUUCCUAGAGCCGCCCCUGCUUCCACAGUUGGCUACUCGCAACUUAUCUUUGGAUGCAGCUCAAAAUUCUUUACACCAGUUCCUGUUGCUCUUCAGAGCAGGUGACACUGGAAUUGGAGUAAUGGUUUAUGGGUCACUUUUCAGGCCAAAAGCAGCCCUGCUAAUUCUUUGGAUUUCGGGAGAACUGUAUCAGGGAUGAAUUUGUCCCCCUUAUGUCAAAGAGGGGGGAAAACUGCUGUUGCUGUGCCAGUCUACUUUUGCAGAAGGCCGGAAAGCAGGCAGAAGAGCAGUAUCAAGACUUCUCCCCACAAAUAAGUGUUUUGGGAGGUGGAAGGUAUGUGCAGCUCAUCCUGUGCCUGGGGCUGGAGGAGAGUGCAUUGCAGUCAGUGGUGGAAAAUGAGCUGGUCUGUGUCCACACAUUCUGGGCUUUUGGUGCAAACUUUGAACUAAAAAUCAAAUAUAUUGAUCAGAUUUCUUCAAAGCUGCUUCAGUAAAGUGGCAUGGCUGGUGGUCAAUUCCUGCAGGGUAGUCUACAGUGACUUGACAAGUCCCAGUCACCAGGAAACCUGAGUCUGCUAUCUUGACCUCCUCAGGCAAGUAUGGAUCUUUUUUUCCAUCCUGGCUUUCUGCUAUACAUAUCUGGCAAUAGCCUAUUUAUCCAAUAUAUCUUUCUCCAAGUGUUGUUAAUCUGACAGCUAAGGCAGUGAGAACCCUGUAGGGUUCAGUUCAUGAAGGGGAUUACAAACCAGUCCUUGCACUUCAAAUUGCAGUGAUUGAAAGGAAACCAACACCCGGAGCUUCACCUGAGUUAAUCCCUACUGCAGAUACAUUUCUUACACAGAUGCUUUCAACAGGCUGGAUUCUGAUACUCUACUCACAUGGAGAAGUACCUUGUUUCACAAGUACUUCCAUUGUCCAACUCACCCUGUGACCUAUUGCUGGGAAAGAGGGCAGCUCUUCAGAAGAGAGGUAAAUUGGCUGAGAGGAGGAAGGUUUGCCAGCUUCCCAUCUCAAUGUGUGGUGGAAGAGAAGAAUGUGUAGGGGAAAAUCAACCCAUGUGCUAAACUUUCUCAGGCAUGGGCUGAAAUUCAUGAAUCUAGAGAACUGUAAGCCCAAAGCUCAGUUUCAGGUGAGUUUGAUGUGAAUAUUUUGCACAACUCCCAGUGGCAAAUGCUGUUUUGGAUGUUGUUCUACCCUUGCAGAACAAACAGAGAGCAGAAAUAAGGUCUUAGCUGUCAAAAGUUUUGGACUGAGUUUCCUUUUAAGAAUGUGACACAAAUUUAAGGCUAAUGUUCUGCAUUUAACUCAAGCUGUCAUCCCUCUAGUGGUGGUGUUUUCUCAUAGGCACCUGAAGGCCAGAGUCUGCUUUGAAGCUUGUGGCUUUUGACAGUUUGUAUCUCUCCAUCCUCAGGAAUGCUGCUUAAGUGCAGCACUUUCAAUGCAUCCUUAUGGACUAGGACAACACAGUGGGGAAAAAACCUCUCAGACACUUCAGAUCUGAGUCAAAGCCCAGUAAAGUCAAUGGGAGUGUUUCAUGGACUUCAAUAGGCUUUGGAUCCGGACCUAAGGACCAAUGUAAAUCAAGAUAAUGGAAUCAUUACCCCUUAAAGCUGCUUGCCCUUCAUUGUGGAAUUAGUGACUUCAUCAACUCCAGCAGAACAAACACAGCCUGGCAGGUAAAAAACUUUCCAGGCAAAAAUGAGAAAAUAAGGAAACAUUUAUGGUUACUGAAGGCACCUACAGACUGAUGAGAAAGGACAUGAAACAAAUAGGCGAAGUUCAUCCCUGAUGUAACUCCAGUAUGUUUCCAAUUCAAACAAUGGAAAGUGAGGGGAGGGGCACAAAGAAGAGAAAUUCUUAGUAGUAAACAUGAUUAGAUGAAGCAAACAGCAAAGGCACCACUCUAACUGCAGUUCAUCAUACAAUGAGUUUCUUAACAACUUGGCCAUUUGGAGGGCUUGUACUUUGGCUCAGAGCUAUGCCAAUAGAAUAAAUCAACUUUACAUACACAACUGUCAAUCAAAACGGAAUCUAUAAACCUUGAAGGCUGAACCGGGAGAAUAAAUUAAAGGAUAAAAGGAAAACGAGGCAUGAGUAGGUCAGUAGGAUCAGGACAAUGAAGAAAAGAAGGAAGGAAGUAUUGCUGAACUAAUACACAAUGUACCUAGGGGUCUUGAACGGAAUCGACAAAAGCAUUUCUGUAAGCAGGGCUCCUAAUGCUGUCGCAUGCCUCUGGUUUUAAUGAGACUAAUGGGAUCCACUGGAACUAAAGGGUGAACUGGAAUACUUAUUUAGCUAAUUAAAUAUAUGCCCCUCCCACCCACUCCAGUUAUUAUAUGUAAAUAUAUACACAAAUCACUAUGAUCCAAAUCCUACUGUUCUUAUUCAGCUAUAUUCAGUUUGCACUGGGAUCAACAGUUUUGACUGGUUGCAGGCUGCUGCAUCUGGUCCUGCCAAGUUCUGUGCAUUAGGGACCAUCUGUGAAAUAGACUUUACAUUUGUGAUUGCAGUUUUGUGCACACAAGUGGGGGGAUGGGGGACCAGGAGAAGUGGUGAGUGGAAUGAUGAACAGACUUUCUCCCUCAUGCUGACACGAAGGCUGACAGACUCUGAAAAGAGGCCUAUUUGUCAAGAGACCUGUAGAAUAGAGGGGCAAAGCUUGGACUAUAGGAGUCCACUGCUAGCCACAAGUGGACCAAGCUGUUCCUUGAGUAUGCUCACAAUGACAUGACUUCCGCAAUGCCAGCCUGUAAAUCAACUGUAGGUGCAGAGCUAACUUGAAAAGAAUAUUGUGUUGUCUUCCCUUCAUAUACUUACACCACGUACCUCAUCAUGGUAUCAAGGCAGCUAAUACAUGUAUCUUAGCAGCUGAAAAUUUGUCGAUAUUUAAGUUAGCAGUUAUUUGACAAAGUCUUCUUAAGAGGGAUGAAGGAGCAACAGCCCCAAAACAGGCAGUAUCUAUUUGCAAUUCUGUGUUAGACUUUCAUGAAUGAAGUAGUGUUUUCCAGUGUAGCCAACUCUCACAAUUUUAUCAUUAGUCUUAUGGUAUUUGGAAUUUUUCUUGAAGUCCUAGCUUCUAGAGUCAUGUGAAUAUGUAAGAAUCUCACUUGUAUCAAAUGGAAACACAUUUCUGGUCCUUAGAGUUGUGGAGGAAAUCGUGAGAACAUGAUCUCAAUGCACCCCCAAAAGAUUCAGAAACGAGAAUGCAACUUAAAUAAAUAAAUCGUUUGGGUUCUUUUAUUUUAAAUCUCUUCAUUUAGAGCUAAUCUCUUAUUGUUGAGAGACUUGACUCAUCAGAGUUGAGGGCUGGCAAUAUUAGAUGUAUUGCUAGACUAAUCUCAGCAAACAUGGUCAUUUGAGCUAGUCAAAAAAGAGGGUGUGGUUGGGAUCAUGAAAAAUAUUGACAACUAGAAUUAUUUUUUCCUCUUAAAUCAGAAAUUUUAAAAUUGAAAAAAAAAUCCACUUGCUCAGUAAUUGAUUAAAAAUUGAGGGAACAUUUUGUGAAAAAGUAAAAAAUGCCCUGAUCCGUUUGUGAAAUUUUUAAUCAAACAUUUCAUAAUUUCAAAACUUUUGACCUGUUCUAAUGCACACAUUUGGCUAACUUAAUUAUUACUCAAAAACAUGUUACUUGUUUUAAAAUGUGCAAUGAACAGGUGAUUGAUUUAUGUCACAAAUUGCUUAGAGACUGGUUAAAAACUUCUAUUUUUAUCUUUUGUUGAUAGCCAUCAGUGUACUUUGUGUUGUAUAAAACAGGGACAGACACAGGCCUUGCCCACAGAGCGUACUGGCUUCAAUGGAAUUACUCACAUGGACAAAGCGUGUGUGCGUGUAUGCAGGAUUGAAGCAUAACAUUCCAAUACUGCCAAAACAUAUUACCCAGAGUAGUGCUUUAGUAAGAGUAGUCACACUGAUAUUGGGGACAGAGGUUACUAAGGGCUAGUCUACCCUGGCAGCGCUAAAGCGCUGCUGUGGCAGCGCUUUAAUGUUCCUUGUGGUCACGGAGCAGCGCUGGGAGAGAGCUCUCCCAGUGCUCUAAAAUAAUCCCCUCCAUGAGGGACGUAGCUACCAGCGCUGGGAGCAUGUCUACCAGCGCUGAUGCGCUGUGUACUCUGGUGCUUUACAACACUGAAACUUGCUGCUGUCAGGGGGGUGUUUUUUCACACCCUUGAGCGAGAAAGUUGCAGCACUAUAAACUGCCAGUGUAGAGAAGCCCUAAGAGCAGUAAGCAUUGCACCCAGUACAAAUUCAGGAUUGGACCUGUAAUUAUAAAAUUUGGUGUCAUAUUGUAAAACAAAUGCAUGGCAUUCCAUCCCAUUAUUUGGAAAUACUUGAUGUAACCCAUCUGUAUUUAUUUUGUUAAUAUGUAACUGCACUUUUAUUUUUCUUAGCUACAUAUAUCAUAAAUACUGUAUGUCAGACA
This is a long non-coding RNA of Gopherus flavomarginatus (Mexican gopher tortoise), 13321 nucleotides long. RefSeq lists it as uncharacterized. The transcript has 2 exons. Lineage: Eukaryota; Metazoa; Chordata; Testudines; Testudinidae. The record is from RefSeq and is a predicted model, not a curated record.